Molecule: long non-coding RNA, 378 nt
Filed under: Brassica rapa (field mustard)
Lineage: Eukaryota; Viridiplantae; Streptophyta; Magnoliopsida; Brassicales; Brassicaceae
Description: long non-coding RNA (BRAP_LNC000207)
Source: RNAcentral
AAAGACCAACUUUUUGGAUAAGCUGUACGAUGUAACUUAUGCCCGGACUUCUUCUCUCUCAUGUUAACAAGUUGUGGUCACGUUUUGCUAAGAGUGAUAUCUAGUUCUGUCUGAUGAUUUUUAUUUUUUACUAAUGAUGUGUUUCUCUGAAGAAAGAUUUGUAGUUUUUGCUGAUGACUUCGGGUGUAUAUUGCAGCUAGAAGAUGCUGCGACACUCCCAUAAAGUAUCUAUGUUCUGGAAGCGGGCUCCUGUUGUCUUUCGCAUACAUGGCAGCAUAAUACCUUUCUCCUUAUGAUACUCUCUUGUUGAAUGUCCUUGUUAAGGAAUCAAAUUGAUUCUCUGCUACAACAAUUAGAACAUCAUUGUGUUGUUUUUUU